Molecule: long non-coding RNA, 193 nt
Filed under: Apteryx rowi (Okarito brown kiwi)
Lineage: Eukaryota; Metazoa; Chordata; Aves; Apterygiformes; Apterygidae
Description: lncRNA (ENSARWG00000013086.1)
Source: RNAcentral
ACAUAUAUGCACAAUCAGAGGCUUUUAUUGGGGCUUUUCAUUUUCUUUUAGAGCCAGCCGCAUCCAUGCAAUGAGCAGCCAACGACACCAGAGCACCGGGCAGAAAGAGCAGCACAGGGCAGAAAAACAAAGCCCUGCAAACACGGCAAACACCCUGUCUAUGGUUUGCCUGUGGACCAGGAGCAGCUUGGCG